Molecule: ribosomal RNA, 253 nt
Filed under: uncultured bacterium
Lineage: Bacteria
Description: partial 16S ribosomal RNA
Rfam family: Bacterial small subunit ribosomal RNA
Source: RNAcentral
UACGAAGGGGGCUAGCGUUGUUCGGGAUUACUGGGCGUAAAGGGCGCGUAGGCGGACAGUUUAGUCCGAGGUGAAAGCCCAGGGCUCAACCCUGGAAUUGCCUUUGAUACUGAUUGUCUUGAGUAUGGGAGAGGUGAGUGGAACUCCGAGUGUAGAGGUGAAAUUCGUAGAUAUUCGGAAGAACACCAGUGGCGAAGGCGACUCACUGGCCCAUUACUGACGCUGAGGCUCGAAAGCGUGGGGAGCAAACAGG